This 403-nucleotide ribosomal RNA is filed under the name bacterium. RNAcentral's name for it is "partial 16S ribosomal RNA". It matches the Rfam family "Bacterial small subunit ribosomal RNA", at positions 355 to 776 of the family's 1533-position model. The record is from RNAcentral.
UGGGGAAUAUUGCACAAUGGGGGAAACCCUGAUGCAGCGACGCCGCGUGAACGAAGAAGGUAUUCGUAUCGUAAAGUUCUGUCCUAUGGGAAGAUAAUGACAGUACCAUAGAAGAAAGCUCCGGCUAAAUACGUACCAGCAGCCGCGGUAAUACGUAUGGAGCGAGCGUUGUCCGGAAUUAUUGGGCGUAAAGGGUACGCAGGCGGUUUAAUAAGUCGAAUGUUAAAGAUCGGGGCUCAACCCCGUAAAGCAUUGGAAACUGAUAAACUUGAGUAGUGGAGAGGAAAGUGGAAUUCCUAGUGUAGUGGUGAAAUACGUAGAUAUUAGGAGGAAUACCAGUAGCGAAGGCGACUUUCUGGACACAAACUGACGCUGAGGUACGAAAGCGUGGGGAGCAAACAGG